This 253-nucleotide ribosomal RNA is filed under the name uncultured bacterium. RNAcentral describes it as "partial 16S ribosomal RNA". It matches the Rfam family "Bacterial small subunit ribosomal RNA", at positions 57 to 305 of the family's 1533-position model. The record is from RNAcentral.
GCAAGUCGAACGGUAACAGCAAAAUGCUUGCAUUUUGGCUGACGAGUGGCGAACGGGUGAGUAACGCGUAGAAAUCUAUCCUAGAGCGGGGGAUAACCAGGGGAAACCCGGACUAAUACCGCAUAUGCCUUACGAGGUAAAGAGGGCCUCUGUUUCAAGCUCUCACUUUAGGAAGAGUCUGCGUCCGAUUAGCUUGUUGGUGGGGUAAUAGCCUACCAAGGCUACGAUCGGUAGCUGGUCUGAGAGGAUGAUC